AAGUCGUAACAAGGUUUCCGUAGGUGAACCUGCGGAAGGAUCAUUAUUGAAUUCACUAGUUGGGUUGUUGCUGGUUCCGAAAGGUUCAUGUGCACGCCUGGCUCUUGACUCCUUUCCACCUGUGCACUUUUGUAGUCAGGCUUUGACUGCUAGCCAGUGUCUAAGUAUGCCUCUUUCGGGAGGAUUUGGGGUUUGGAUCCUUGUGGAUCCUUUCCCUGAGGCGCUUGGCCGGCUCAGCUUGGCUAUGUUUUCAUUUACACUGUUGUAUGUUCAGAAAGUCAUGUUUACUGGUCUUUGGACCUUUAAUCUUACACAACUAUUGGCAACGGAUCUCUUGGCUCAC
This 343-nucleotide unclassified non-coding RNA is filed under the name air metagenome. RNAcentral's name for it is "partial contains small subunit ribosomal RNA and internal transcribed spacer 1". The stretch from base 1 to 46 matches the Rfam family "Eukaryotic small subunit ribosomal RNA", at positions 1786 to 1831 of the family's 1831-position model. The record is from RNAcentral.